AUCACCUGUUGGGUCUACAGAAGUAUCACCCACUCCAAUAGCGCAGCCACCACCUAAGCCAGGAUGUGAAGAAUGGGUCUAUGUGAGUGAACCGAUACCAGAGGAAGUACGUGCAUUUUUAAUACCUUACUGGCAAUUAAUAGAGAAUUCAUACAUAAACACCAUCAAAACAGCCCUCAGGAAUCUGAGAGAAGAUCAGCACACCCUCCUCGCUUACCUAUAUGAAACUAGAACAAGUUUCAAGCAGCUUCUAAAACAACCAGAUUACAA
This 270-nucleotide long non-coding RNA is filed under the name Cavia porcellus (domestic guinea pig). RNAcentral's name for it is "lncRNA (ENSCPOG00000033398.1)". The record is from RNAcentral. Lineage: Eukaryota; Metazoa; Chordata; Mammalia; Rodentia; Caviidae.